AUUCUGGCUCAGGAUGAACGCUAGCUACAGGCUUAACACAUGCAAGUCGAGGGGCAGCAUGUGGUGCUGCAACCAAUGAUGGCGACCGGCGCACGGGUGAGUAACGCGUAUCCAACCUUCCCCUUAGUAGAGGAUAGCCCGGCGAAAGUCGGAUUAAUACUCUAUGUUCUUCAAUGCGGGCAUCUAAGUUGAAGCAAAGAUUUAUCGCUAAGGGAUGGGGAUGCGUCUGAUUAGGUUGCAGGCGGGGUAACGGCCCACCUGGCCUACGAUCAGUAGGGGUUCUGAGAGGAAGGUCCCCCACACUGGUACUGAGACACGGACCAGACUCCUACGGGAGGCAGCAGUGAGGAAUAUUGGUCAAUGGGCGCGAGCCUGAACCAGCCAAGUAGCGUGCAAGGACGACUGCCCUAUGGGUUGUAAACUGCUUUUAUCAGGGAAUAAAGUGAGGCACGCGUGCCUUUUUGUAUGUACCUGAUGAAUAAGGACCGGCUAAUUCCGUGCCAGCCGCGGC
RNAcentral lists this ribosomal RNA (511 nucleotides) under uncultured bacterium. RNAcentral describes it as "bacterial SSU rRNA". It matches the Rfam family "Bacterial small subunit ribosomal RNA", at positions 16 to 518 of the family's 1533-position model. The record is from RNAcentral.